UCCCUUUUGCACUGCCUUGGAUUGUUGUGGCAUUAUUGUGGUGUAUGCUGCCAGUAGUGAAAUGGUGUGUUUCAUUCAGCAGGGUGUUCAAUCCAUGUUGGCUUCCUUGUAUUGACGUGGCUCUGGUGCAAGCAGCAAUCACAUGGAAAGGUUGGAUGAUUUGUGGUAGGAUUAUGUAGUGGUGUGGCUUGUAUUACAGGUUUGUUAUAGGUGGAAGCAUGGUAAGCCAUUAUGAUUUAGGUGUUUCACUGUAGGAUCACUUGGCUUGAUUGGGAUGCUUUUGUGAGCUGAAUUACCUGCUGCCAGUUGUUGUAUCACUGCAGGUCUGCUUUGUACAGGUCUUGAUCAAGACAAUAUACCAUGCACGACUUAUCAAGGCAACCAAUCCUUCCUGUAACGGAUGACGGUACGUCACUGUGGCUUAUACGCGCAUUGCAUAAGGAAAUCAAGAAAUUAGCUCCCCAAGCCCAUCUUGAAGCCCAACUCAUGAACUCCACCGUAACAAAUAACCGGUCGUAGUGUGUUUCCGUCGUUCAUUGUACCAAAGGCACGCCAAUGUGGGUGAUAGCAGAGAUGCUGAUACCAGGCUGGUAUUGUCAUGGCCUUGAGUUGCUUUCGACGCAGGCGUGCGCAUUUGGAGCAUUUGAUUUGCCGGCUUGGAAGUGCUUUUGGAAGCUGCGCUUUGAAUUGUUUUGCUUUGCAUUAGCUGUUGGCUUCGGUUUAGGACACUAGGUCGAGUUCAAAUUCCGCUGGAAUUGUUUGUUAUUAGUUAGGAUGUGAAGUUGUUUAACUGUUAGCAUUUAAACUUUCAUUUUGCCUUAAUACGGUUAAGCGAAAAUUAUGAAAAUGUAGCCAUUUCUAUUAUAACAGUUGUUGAUUUUUGUUAGAA
This is a long non-coding RNA of Lathyrus oleraceus (garden pea), 889 nucleotides long. RefSeq lists it as uncharacterized. The transcript has 3 exons. NCBI's taxonomy places the organism in Eukaryota, Viridiplantae, Streptophyta, Magnoliopsida, Fabales, Fabaceae. The record is from RefSeq and is a predicted model, not a curated record.